GAUGAAGAACGUAGCGAAAUGCGAUAAGUGAUGUGAAUUGCAGAAUUCAGUGAAUCAUCGAAUCUUUGAACGCACAUUGCGCCCCCUGGUAUUCCGGGGGGCAUGCCUGUUCGAGCGUCAUUUCACCACUCAAGCCUCGCUUGGUAUUGGGCAACGCGGUCCGCCGCGUGCCUCAAAUCGACCGGCUGGGUCUUCUGUCCCCUAAGCGUUGUGGAAACUAUUCGCUAAAGGGUGUUCGGGAGGCUACGCCGUAAAACAACCCCAUUUCUAAGGUUGACCUCGGAUCAGGUAGGGAUACCCGCUGAACUUAAGCAUAUCAAUAAGCGGAGGA
This 331-nucleotide unclassified non-coding RNA is filed under the name soil metagenome. Its description in RNAcentral is "partial contains 5.8S ribosomal RNA, internal transcribed spacer 2, and large subunit ribosomal RNA". The stretch from base 1 to 120 matches the Rfam family "5.8S ribosomal RNA", at positions 35 to 154 of the family's 154-position model. The record is from RNAcentral.